ACACCUACGGGGGGCAGCAGUGGGGAAUUUUGGACAAUGGGCGCAAGCCUGAUCCAGCUAUUCCGCGUGUGGGAUGAAGGCCCUCGGGUUGUAAACCACUUUUGUAGAGAACGAAAAGACACCUUUUAAUAAAGGGUGUUGCUGACGGUACUCUAAGAAUAAGCACCGGCUAACUACGUGCCAGCAGCCGCGGUAAUACGUAGGGUGCGAGCGUUAAUCGGAAUUACUGGGCGUAAAGGGUGCGCAGGCGGUUGAGUAAGACAGCAGUGAAAUCCCCGAGCUUAACUCGGGAGUGGCAAAUGUGA
RNAcentral lists this ribosomal RNA (305 nucleotides) under uncultured bacterium. RNAcentral's name for it is "bacterial SSU rRNA". It matches the Rfam family "Bacterial small subunit ribosomal RNA", at positions 335 to 632 of the family's 1533-position model. The record is from RNAcentral.